Molecule: ribosomal RNA, 465 nt
Filed under: Vreelandella stevensii
Lineage: Bacteria; Pseudomonadati; Pseudomonadota; Gammaproteobacteria; Oceanospirillales; Halomonadaceae
Description: partial 16S ribosomal RNA
Rfam family: Bacterial small subunit ribosomal RNA
Source: RNAcentral
CCUACGUGCGGCAGCAGUGGGGAAUAUUGGACAAUGGGCGAAAGCCUGAUCCAGCCAUGCCGCGUGUGUGAAGAAGGCCUUCGGGUUGUAAAGCACUUUCAGUGGGGAAGAAAGCCUUGGGGCUAAUACCCUCGAGGAAGGACAUCACCCACAGAAGAAGCACCGGCUAACUCCGUGCCAGCAGCCGCGGUAAUACGGAGGGUGCGAGCGUUAAUCGGAAUUACUGGGCGUAAAGCGCGCGUAGGCGGUCUGAUAAGCCGGUUGUGAAAGCCCCGGGCUCAACCUGGGAACGGCAUCCGGAACUGUCAGGCUAGAGUGCAGGAGAGGAAGGUAGAAUUCCCGGUGUAGCAGUGAAAUGCGUAGAGAUCGGGAGGAAUACCAGUGGCGAAGGCGGCCUUCUGGACUGACACUGACGCUGAGGUGCGAAAGCGUGGGUAGCAAACAGGAUUAGAUACCCUGGUAGUC